RNAcentral lists this microRNA precursor (68 nucleotides) under Nematostella vectensis (starlet sea anemone). RNAcentral's name for it is "microRNA nve-mir-9421 precursor". Lineage: Eukaryota; Metazoa; Cnidaria; Anthozoa; Actiniaria; Edwardsiidae. The record is from miRBase by way of RNAcentral.
UAUUGGUUACCAUAAAUGGUAGAUACGAAAUUCGUUAAAUGAUUGCGUAUCUGCCAUUAAUGCUAACC